RNAcentral lists this ribosomal RNA (1440 nucleotides) under uncultured organism. Its description in RNAcentral is "SSU rRNA". It matches the Rfam family "Bacterial small subunit ribosomal RNA". The record is from RNAcentral.
UGAACGCUAGCUACAGGCUUAACACAUGCAAGUCGAGGGGCAUCAGGAAGAAAGCUUGCUUUCUUUGCUGGCGACCGGCGCACGGGUGAGUAACACGUAUCCAACCUGCCCUUUACUCGGGGAUAGCCUUUCGAAAGAAAGAUUAAUACCCGAUAGCAUAAUGAUUCCGCAUGGUUUCAUUAUUAAAGGAUUCCGGUAAAGGAUGGGGAUGCGUUCCAUUAGGUUGUUGGUGAGGUAACGGCUCACCAAGCCUUCGAUGGAUAGGGGUUCUGAGAGGAGGGUCCCCCACAUUGGAACUGAGACACGGUCCAAACUCCUACGGGAGGCAGCAGUGAGGAAUAUUGGUCAAUGGGCGGUAGCCUGAACCAGCCAAGUAGCGUGAAGGAUGAAGGCUCUAUGGGUCGUAAACUUCUUUUAUAUAAGAAUAAAGUGCAGUAUGUAUACUGUUUUGUAUGUAUUAUAUGAAUAAGGAUCGGCUAACUCCGUGCCAGCAGCCGCGGUAAUACGGAGGAUCCGAGCGUUAUCCGGAUUUAUUGGGUUUAAAGGGAGCGUAGGUGGACUGGUAAGUCAGUUGUGAAAGUUUGCGGCUCAACCGUAAAAUUGCAGUUGAUACUGUCAGUCUUGAGUACAGUAGAGGUGGGCGGAAUUCGUGGUGUAGCGGUGAAAUGCUUAGAUAUCACGAAGAACUCCGAUUGCGAAGGCAGCUCACUGGACUGCAACUGACACUGAUGCUCGAAAGUGUGGGUAUCAAACAGGAUUAGAUACCCUGGUAGUCCACACAGUAAACGAUGAAUACUCGCUGUUUGCGAUAUACAGUAAGCGGCCAAGCGAAAGCAUUAAGUAUUCCACCUGGGGAGUACGCCGGCAACGGUGAAACUCAAAGGAAUUGACGGGGGCCCGCACAAGCGGAGGAACAUGUGGUUUAAUUCGACGAUACGCGAGGAACCUUACCCGGGCUUAAAUUGCAGUGGAAUGAUGUGGAAACAUGUCAGUGAGCAAUCACCGCUGUGAAGGUGCUGCAUGGUUGUCGUCAGCUCGUGCCGUGAGGUGUCGGCUUAAGUGCCAUAACGAGCGCAACCCUUAUCUUUAGUUACUAACAGGUCAUGCUGAGGACUCUAGAGAGACUGCCGUCGUAAGAUGUGAGGAAGGUGGGGAUGACGUCAAAUCAGCACGGCCCUUACGUCCGGGGCUACACACGUGUUACAAUGGGGGGUACAGAAGGCAGCUAGCGGGUGACCGUAUGCUAAUCCCAAAAGCCUCUCUCAGUUCGGAUCGAAGUCUGCAACCCGACUUCGUGAAGCUGGAUUCGCUAGUAAUCGCGCAUCAGCCACGGCGCGGUGAAUACGUUCCCGGGCCUUGUACACACCGCCCGCCAAGCCAUGGGAGCCGGGGGUACCUGAAGUGCGUAACCGCAAGGAUCGUCCUAGGGUAAAACUGGUG